This 469-nucleotide ribosomal RNA is filed under the name uncultured bacterium. RNAcentral describes it as "partial 16S ribosomal RNA". It matches the Rfam family "Bacterial small subunit ribosomal RNA", at positions 28 to 507 of the family's 1533-position model. The record is from RNAcentral.
GGCGAACGCUGGCGGCGUGCUUAACACAUGCAAGUCGAACGGAAAGGCCCUGCUUGCAGGGUGCUCGAGUGGCGAACGGGUGAGUAACACGUGGGUGAUCUGCCCCUUACUUUGGGAUAAGCCUGGGAAACUGGGUCUAAUACUGGAUAGGACCAUGCUGUAGGUGGUGUGGUGGAAAGAUUAGUUUCGGUAAGGGAUGAGCUCGCGGCCUAUCAGCUUGUUGGUGGGGUAAUGGCCUACCAAGGCGUCGACGGGUAGCCGGCCUGAGAGGGUGGACGGCCACAUUGGGACUGAGAUACGGCCCAGACUCCUACGGGAGGCAGCAGAGGGGAAUAUUGCACAAUGGGCGCAAGCCUGAUGCAGCGACGCCGCGUGGGGGAUGACGGCCUUCGGGUUGUAAACUCCUUUCAGCCAUGACGAAGCCCUUGUGGUGACGGUAGUGGUAGAAGAAGCACCGGCUAACUACGUG